This 791-nucleotide ribosomal RNA is filed under the name uncultured Pseudomonadales bacterium. Its description in RNAcentral is "bacterial SSU rRNA". It matches the Rfam family "Bacterial small subunit ribosomal RNA", at positions 9 to 798 of the family's 1533-position model. Lineage: Bacteria; Pseudomonadati; Pseudomonadota; Gammaproteobacteria; Pseudomonadales. The record is from RNAcentral.
GAGUUUGAUCCUGGCUCAGAUUGAACGCUGGCGGCAGGCCUAACACAUGCAAGUCGAGCGGUAGAGGGGUGCUUGCACUCCUUGAGAGCGGCGGACGGGUGAGUAAUGCCUAGGAAUCUGCCUAGUAGUGGGGGAUAACGUUCGGAAACGGACGCUAAUACCGCAUACGUCCUACGGGAGAAAGUGGGGGAUCUUCGGACCUCACGCUAUUAGAUGAGCCUAGGUCGGAUUAGCUAGUUGGUGAGGUAAUGGCUCACCAAGGCGACGAUCCGUAACUGGUCUGAGAGGAUGAUCAGUCACACUGGAACUGAGACACGGUCCAGACUCCUACGGGAGGCAGCAGUGGGGAAUAUUGGACAAUGGGCGCAAGCCUGAUCCAGCCAUGCCGCGUGUGUGAAGAAGGUCUUCAGAUUGUAAAGCACUUUAAGUUGGGAGGAAGGUCAGUAGCUUAAUACGUUGCUGAUUUGACGUUACCGACAGAAUAAGCACCGGCUAACUCUGUGCCAGCAGCCGCGGUAAUACAGAGGGUGCAAGCGUUAAUCGGAAUUACUGGGCGUAAAGCGCGCGUAGGUGGUUAUGUAAGUUGGAUGUGAAAUCCCCGGGCUCAACCUGGGAACUGCAUCCAAAACUGCAUAGCUAGAGUACGGUAGAGGGUGGUGGAAUUUCCUGUGUAGCGGUGAAAUGCGUAGAUAUAGGAAGGAACACCAGUGGCGAAGGCGACCACCUGGACUGAUACUGACACUGAGGUGCGAAAGCGUGGGAAGCAAACAGGAUAGAUACCUGGUAGUCAC